UAUUUUUCCAUCCAUUGGUCAGAUCUGUUAGUAAAUUUCAUUAUAAAGAAGGGUUAGAUGAUAAAAAAAUCCUCUUUGAAGAAGAGCAGGAGAGCCAAUUUACGUGUAGCCACAAAAAUCAAAAUUUAAAAUUCGAAAUCCGUCAGUGUAGUGACAGAAUGGUUGCCACGUGUCCCACCAAAGUUGACUUUAGAAAAAAAGGGAAAACCAGGUCAUUUAUCUUCUGGGUUUAUUCGGAGCGACGAGUGGCGACUGUUUACAGCUACCGGCGAGUGGCGACUUCGACUGGCGACUCUUUACAGCUAUCGGCGAGUGGCGACUAGCAAAGAAAAAGGGGUUGAAAGCAUUAGCUCGAGAUUGUUUAGGAGGACUGAGAAAAAAAUAGGGUUUCUAAGUGGCGGCUGGCGAUCGGUUAACCGGGAAGGAUGACGACUGAAGGAACACAGCAGCAAUGGAUGACUGAAGGCUGUUUAGGGUAUAGGGUUCGACUAUUUACGCUAUAAUUUGUUGAAAUAAGAGACAAUUGGUACUGUGUUGGGACUCUCAUUCGAGGUUAAUGGUUAAAAAAAAUGGGUUAAAGGAUUAUGCAAUUCAAGAGGGCUUUGCAUUAAGGAAGUUCAAUUCGAAAACUUUCUCAUUCGUAUUUGUUUCUCAAGAAAAUUAUUUAAAUUCCAUGUGUUGAAUUGAUAAAAACAAACGAAAUUGGCGCAAGAUGAGAAUCAGAGGUUGGAAGAUAUGCUUGGGGGUUUGCUUCAGCAAUUGGUGGAAUUGGUGGUACAUUCCUAACGAUGACCUCAGGAACUGAGGUUCGGCAUUUUUCUAGCCUGUGUAUUUGUUAAUUUUCACUGAAGAAGUGAUCCCUGAGAGCUCUUUUGAUUCCUGAAGCUUUUUAUAAUGCUGAAAGCACUCUGAAAUGUCUAGUUUGUUUGUUUAUUUGAAACAAAACUGGUACAAUAUGAGAACCAAUUGUUAAAAUAGAUGCUUGGACUACUCAUUUAACUCCUGAAACCACCUAAAUGAUGCCAAAUGUUUUUUUUAUUAGUUUACUUAAGAAAUUGGUAUGUUGGUACAGUCUUCCGCAUUGGAUUCAGUAGAGCCAUUAAUGCAGUAUGGACAAUCAAUUGAUGACAGGGAAAUUAGCCAGGCUCAAAUUCCACAGCUCCUCGGUCAGGAAAUGCUUUUGUUGUUAAUUUGCUGCCUUACAGUUUAUAUAUGUAAUUCUUUGAUUAGGUAAUGUUGGACAAUUUGUGACACAAGUGCAAUGUAAAGGAAGAAAUUGGAUUCGCUUUGCAAGAAAGUCAUUGGUGUAGCAUUGUUUGUGGUUGAUAAUAUACUUGUGAUGCAUUGGUUGUUGUAUA
Molecule: long non-coding RNA, 1358 nt
Organism: Pistacia vera
Lineage: Eukaryota; Viridiplantae; Streptophyta; Magnoliopsida; Sapindales; Anacardiaceae
Exons: 3
Source: RefSeq, a predicted model, not a curated record